UGGCUCCGAUAAUGGAAUGGAUUAAGCCAGAUACCGAUACUCUAGGACUCGAAAGAGAUUCGCUAGGGAGGCGUUGUGAUAGGGCAGAAGCUGGGGCGUGAGUUCCAGUGGACCUGUCAGAAUUGUAGAUCCUGCCGGGAGUAACAGCAAAGUGGGGUUAGAAUCCCCAUCGCCGAAAGGGCCAGGAUUCCUCAGCAAUGUUCGUCAACUGAGGGUUAGUCGAUCCUAAGGCUCUUCGUAACUCGAUUGAGCCGAAAGGGAAACCCGUUAAUAUUCGGGUACCGUAAAGAUACACGCGGCAACGCAAGUUCUUUCCUUGACACUUCGGAGUACGCUGAGUGGAACCAUCGUUCCAUCUAACUAUAUAAUUCCAUGGAGAUGCUUAAUGCAGAGAAGUGGAAGAAAUUAGGAAUGGCCUGACGUUUUAGUCGGGUUCGGCCGAUCUCUGGAGUCCGUGAAAAGAGGAUAGAAAUGAAUUCUUUAUGUUCGUACUGAGAUCCGACACAGGUGCCCCUUGGUGAGAAGCCUAAGGCGUGUUGGGAUACUCCAGUUAAGGGAACUCGGCAAAAUAGCUCCGUAACUUUGGGAUAAGGAGUGCGUACUGUCUUUAAUCGGACGGUACGUCUCAGUAACUUGAGGGCUUCGACUGUUUAAUAAAAACACAGCUAGCUGCUAUCCUGUAAAGGUUUGUACAGCUGGUGACAUCUGCUCAGUGCCGGCACGUUAAUCCCGGUUCCAACCGGGUGAAGCGCCGGUAAACGGCGGGAGUAACUAUAACUCUCUUAAGGUAGCGUAAUACCUUGCCGCUUAAUUGGCGGCUUGCAUGAAUGGUGUAACGAGAGCCCUACUGUCCCUAACUGGAACCUAGUGAAACCACUUCCUGGUGAAUAUGCCAGGGUCCCCCGAUGGGAAGCGAAGACCCCAUGGAGUUUUACUGCAGCCUGUCGUUGUUGCUUGGACUUUGAUGUAGAGCGUAGUUGGUAGCCAUCGAAGCAAUCUCGCUAGGGAUUGUGGAGGCGCAAAUGGAACACCAACCUUCCAAGUCUAAGCAACUAACCAACAUUGUUAUUGUUGGGACACCGGUAGGUGGGCAGUUUGGCUGGGGCGGUACGCCCUCGAGAAGAUAUCGAGGGCGCCCUAAGGUUGACUCAGGUGGGUCAGGAAUCCACCGUAGAGGGCAAGGCCAAAAGUCAGCCUGACUGGAUAUUGCACCACAAGAUAUCCAGAGGCGAAAGCCGGGCCUAGCGAACUCCAAUGCCUCCUUGAUGGGGGCUUGGACUAACAGAAAAACUACCCUGGGGAUAACUGAGUCGUCCGGGGCAAGAGCCCACAUCGACCCCCGGGCUUGCUACCUCGCUGUCGGUUCUUUCCAUCCUGGGUCUGCAGCAGGACCCAAGGGUGGGGUUGUUCGCCCAUUAAAGGAGAACGUGAGCUGGGUUUAGACCGUCGUGAGACAGGUUAGUUGCUAUCUAUCGGGGGUGUUGGUCGUCUGAAGGGAAGGUAGUCCCAGUACGAGAGGAACUGACUGCCGUGGCCUCUGGUGUGCCGGUUGUCUGAUAAGGCAUCGCCGGGUAGCUACGCCAUAGUUAAUAAGGGCUGAAAGCAUCUAAGCCCGAAAUAAUCCCUGAAAAUAGACAACCACUCUCUAAUAGCAAAAGGGGAUAGGUGACUAUAACUUUAGUUAGAGACGAAGACACGGAUAGAAGAUCCGGUUGAUAGGUCGGUAGUGUAAGUGCCAAGCCUUCGGGCGAGGUAUUCAGCUUACCGAUACUAAUAGUCUAAGGUUCAUUAU
RNAcentral lists this ribosomal RNA (1792 nucleotides) under bioreactor metagenome. RNAcentral describes it as "bacterial LSU rRNA". It matches the Rfam family "Archaeal large subunit ribosomal RNA", at positions 1245 to 2987 of the family's 2987-position model. The record is from RNAcentral.